Molecule: long non-coding RNA, 368 nt
Filed under: Salvia miltiorrhiza (redroot sage)
Lineage: Eukaryota; Viridiplantae; Streptophyta; Magnoliopsida; Lamiales; Lamiaceae
Description: long non-coding RNA (SMIL_LNC001008)
Source: RNAcentral
UAAAAGAUACUCCUCAAUGUAGCUCGAUCACCAACCUUAUAACAUUCUUAAUCCAUACCAUCUUCCACCUCAUAAAACCAGAUUUUUCAAUACGAGAAACCAUCACAACACAACAAUUAUUUCUCAUGAUAUUAUGACUUUCUAAAGCAUCCUAUGUACCCAUUUUUUUCAAUUCUUUUCUCUCUUUUCUUUUCUUUUUUCUUCUCUUUCUUUUCCCUUUUUUUUUCCUUUUUUUUUCUAACGACUUGUAGGGUACUAGGAUUUUUUUCAAUCAAGAUCAAAGUACAUAAUCCAUAAACACACAUCUCCACAAACCAACUACCCCAUAACAACAAUCUCCAAGCUCCCACCCACGGCUAAACCAAAUA